RNAcentral lists this ribosomal RNA (422 nucleotides) under Verrucomicrobiota bacterium. RNAcentral describes it as "Verrucomicrobia bacterium partial 16S ribosomal RNA". It matches the Rfam family "Bacterial small subunit ribosomal RNA", at positions 355 to 776 of the family's 1533-position model. The record is from RNAcentral. Lineage: Bacteria; Pseudomonadati; Verrucomicrobiota.
UGGGGAAUAUUGCGCAAUGGGGGAAACCCUGACGCAGCGACGCCGCGUGCGGGAUGAAGGCCUUCGGGUUGUAAACCUUUUUCGCUCAUGGUCAAGCCGCAGCUUUGGGUUGUGGUGAGGGUAGUGGGUAAAGAAGCGCCGGCUAACUACGUGCCAGCAGCCGCGGUAAUACGUAGGGCGCGAGCGUUGUCCGGAAUUAUUGGGCGUAAAGGGCUUGUAGGCGGUUGGCCGCGUCUGCCGUGAAAUCCUCUGGCUUAACUGGGGGCGUGCGGUGGGUAUGGGUUGACUUGAGUGCGGUAGGGGAGACUGGAAUUCCUGGUGUAGCGGUGGAAUGCGCAGAUAUCAGGAGGAACACCGGUGGCGAAGGCGGGUCUCUGGGCCGUUACUGACGCUGAGGAGCGAAAGCGUGGGGAGCGAACAGG